This 396-nucleotide ribosomal RNA is filed under the name uncultured bacterium. Its description in RNAcentral is "bacterial SSU rRNA". It matches the Rfam family "Bacterial small subunit ribosomal RNA", at positions 358 to 771 of the family's 1533-position model. The record is from RNAcentral.
GGAAUAUUGGACAAUGGGCGAAAGCCUGAUCCAGCAAUGCCGCGUGAGUGAUGAAGGCCUUAGGGUUGUAAAGCUCUUUUACCAGGGAUGAUAAUGACAGUACCUGGAGAAUAAGCUCCGGCUAACUCCGCGCCCGCAGCCGCGGUAAUGCGGAGGGGGCUAGCGUUGUUCGGAAUUACUGGGCGUAAAGCGCACGUAGGCGGCUUUGUAAGUUAGAGGUGAAAGCCCGGAGCUCAACUCCGGGACUGCCUUUAAGACUGCAUCGCUAGAACGUUGGAGAGGUAAGUGGAAUUCCGAGUGUAGAGGUGAAAUUCGUAGAUAUUCGGAAGAACACCAGUGGCGAAGGCGACUUACUGGACAACUGUUGACGCUGAGGUGCGAAAGCGUGGGGAGCAA